GCCUGGGUGGCGAAAUCGGUAGACGCACCGGACUUAAAAUCCGUCGGUCGCAAGACCAUGAGGGUUCGAGUCCCUCCCCAGGCACCA
This 87-nucleotide transfer RNA is filed under the name Lysobacteraceae bacterium. RNAcentral's name for it is "tRNA-Leu". It matches the Rfam family "tRNA". Rfam says of the family: Transfer RNA (tRNA) molecules are approximately 80 nucleotides in length. The record is from RNAcentral. RNAcentral also lists the same sequence under 4 other names. Lineage: Bacteria; Pseudomonadati; Pseudomonadota; Gammaproteobacteria; Lysobacterales; Lysobacteraceae.